This 495-nucleotide ribosomal RNA is filed under the name uncultured bacterium. Its description in RNAcentral is "partial 16S ribosomal RNA". It matches the Rfam family "Bacterial small subunit ribosomal RNA", at positions 28 to 507 of the family's 1533-position model. The record is from RNAcentral.
GAUGAACGCUGGCGGCGUGCCUAAUACAUGCAAGUCGAGCGAACAGACGAGGAGCUUGCUCCUCUGACGUUAGCGGCGGAUGGGUGAGUAACACGUGGAUAACCUACCUAUAAGACUGGGAUAACUUCGGGAAACCGGAGCUAAUACCGGAUAAUAUAUUGCACCGCAUGGUUCAAUAGUGAAAGACGGUUUUGCUGUCACUUAUAGAUGGAUCCGCGCCGCAUUAGCUAGUUGGUAAGGUAACGGCUUACCAAGGCAACGAUGCGUAGCCGACCUGGGAGGGGUGCCGGCCACGAGAGGACAGGAGGACAGGCCGGACUCGGACGGGGGGCAGGAGUAGAGUAGUCGGCGAAAGGGGGGAAGGCCGUACGGGGGAAGGGCGGGUGGGGUGAGAACGCCUUGGGGGCGGAAAGCUCUUUUUAUUAGGAAAAAAAAAUGUUUAAAGAAGGAACGACGUUGACGGGACCCCUAGAAGAAAACCCGGCGAAAACCGUG